RNAcentral lists this unclassified non-coding RNA (405 nucleotides) under soil metagenome. RNAcentral's name for it is "partial contains 5.8S ribosomal RNA, internal transcribed spacer 2, and large subunit ribosomal RNA". The stretch from base 1 to 121 matches the Rfam family "5.8S ribosomal RNA", at positions 35 to 154 of the family's 154-position model. The record is from RNAcentral.
GAUGAAGAACGUAGCGAAAUGCGAUAAGUAAUGUGAAUUGCAGAAUUCAGUGAAUCAUCGAAUCUUUGAACGCACCUUGCGCCCUUUGGCCAUUCCGAAGGGCAUGCCUGUUUGAGUAUCAUGAACACCUCAACUCUUUAUGGUUUUCCAUGAUGAGCUUGGACUCUGGGGGUUUUGCUGGCUCACAGUCGGCUCCUCUAAAAUGAAUCAGCUUACCAGUGUUUGGUGGGUAUCAUGGGUGUGAUAACUAUCUACGCUUGUGGUUUUUCCACCAGGUAACCUUCAGCGGUGGAGGUUCGCUGGAGCUCAUAGAUGUCUCUCCUCAGUGAGGACAGCCCUUUGAAUGUUUGAUCUCAAAUCAGGUAGGACUACCCGCUGAACUUAAGCAUAUCAAUAAGCGGAGGA